AUUGAACGCUGGCGGCAUGCCUUACACAUGCAAGUCGAGCGGCAGCGCGGGGGCAACCCUGGCGGCGAGCGGCGAACGGGUGAGUAAUACAUCGGAACGUGUCCAGUAGCGGGGGAUAACCUGUCGAAAGAUAGGCUAAUACCGCAUACGACCUUCGGGUGAAAGCGGGGGACCGCAAGGCCUCGCACGAUUGGAGCGGCCGAUGUCGGAUUAGCUAGUUGGCGGGGUAACGGCCCACCAAGGCGACGAUCUGUAGCGGGUCUGAGAGGAUGAUCCGCCACACUGGGACUGAGACACGGCCCAGACUCCUACGGGAGGCAGCAGUGGGGAAUAUUGGACAAUGGGGGGAACCCUGAUCCAGCCAUGCCGCGUGUGUGAAGAAGGCCUUAUGGUUGUAAAGCACUUUAAGCGAGGAGGAGGCUCUUUUGGUUAAUACCCAAGAUGGGUGGACGUUACUCGCAGAAUAAGCACCGGCUAACUCUGUGCCAGCCGCCGCCGUAA
RNAcentral lists this ribosomal RNA (501 nucleotides) under uncultured bacterium. RNAcentral's name for it is "partial 16S ribosomal RNA". It matches the Rfam family "Bacterial small subunit ribosomal RNA", at positions 29 to 523 of the family's 1533-position model. The record is from RNAcentral.